UCGAAACGGGGUCCGACGGUCGACUGUCGGAAAGCUGUUCCGCAAACGUCAAAUCACUUGUUGCACGGUAAAAAUUUUUGGUUUAUUUUUUCGGUGUGAAUGUUGAUUAUUAAAAUCAACGGGAAUAUGCAACUUUUAACGAGUGUUACAUGCCGCUAUAUUUUUUAAACAAGUUUUAUGAUACUUUGAAGGCAUUUUGUCAUAUAUUUAUGUGAUUUUGAAAAAUUUUAGAUUUCUCUAAUAUUCUUGAUAUCAUGAAAUAUCAACACUUUUAGUACAGUGCAUGCCAUUUUGAAGUUUCCGACACUCAGUCUGCUUCUUCUUCUUUGCUCCGCAAAAUUAGAAUUUUUCUCUUUUCUCGCAAUAAUAUCAAAAGAAAACCGCGCACAUCGCACGAUGCUCACUCCAAGGAAAAUCCAUUGUCGACCCGGGUAUCAUAAAGAAAAUCCGUCGAACUUGAACGUUUUUGAAGUACGUAUCAGCUCCGUAAAUCGGUUCUCAUCGGUGGUAUAAACCUGUAUAAAGGAUCAGCUCGUAGACGGUUUCCAAUCCUCGGGCUGGAUCGCGUAUAGGAUGCACUUUACGAGCCAAAUAAAGGUUGAUGGAAAUGAACGAAUUCGACUAUUGAUUUUGGGCAACCAAACCCGUUAACCUCAACGGCGAUGUACCUCCCGGAAGUGAGGCAUUCCUCCGAUCGAAUUUGCGCAGUGAUAGGCGUUUUUUGGUUUCCUAUAACUAACGGAAUGUGCGGUGCUGGCUUUGCUAAUUCUAAUAUUCAUCGACGUUUCAUGUUCAAGGACAAAUCAACAGCAAGAAACCUGCUCACAGGAAAUAUGAUAGCAUUAGAUCAACUAGAGGGCUCCUCUGAACGUAGAUUGUUAAUCCCAACUAGCCGUGCUCGGCCAAACUUAUGGAAGAAAAAACGAGAAUCGGUAAAAUGAUAGACGCAA
This is a long non-coding RNA of Armigeres subalbatus, 950 nucleotides long. RefSeq lists it as uncharacterized. NCBI's taxonomy places the organism in Eukaryota, Metazoa, Arthropoda, Insecta, Diptera, Culicidae. The transcript has 3 exons. The record is from RefSeq and is a predicted model, not a curated record.